This 393-nucleotide unclassified non-coding RNA is filed under the name Hevea brasiliensis (rubber tree). Lineage: Eukaryota; Viridiplantae; Streptophyta; Magnoliopsida; Malpighiales; Euphorbiaceae. The record is from RNAcentral.
AACCAGCGUUGGGCCCACAAGAUAAUGUCACAUAGGUCGAAAAGGUUAGAAAAUUAUUAAUAAAAUAAGUUCAAGGAUGUAAUAUGAUCUUAUUAUAGCAUAACUGUGUCUCUGAGAAUACGGGCAUAGAUUGAGGGGAUACUUGUGCAUUAUCCCUAAUUUUAUCACUCGACAUUAUGAUUACUUUAAGGAUUAAAAGUUGAUUGAAAUGCUAUUCAGUUUUUUGAGGUAUGUUAUUUCAAAAGAUAAAAUUUUUUCUGGUUAGAAUGAUUUGUUAUCAUCAUUGAAUAUCCUAUAGUUUACUCCCUUUAAUGUAUGUUUUUCUCACUUUUAUGUUGUCUCCUUACAAUUAUAUUGAUUCUUUUUGGUUUGUAUGUACAUAAUCUGACUAUG